UUUGGGCGGCAUUUCUUUUUCUCUUUAUUACACGCUCUCUCUCUCUUUCUCUAAUAAAAACCCUAAUUCUCCUUUUCCUUCGUUCAUCGCCCCUUUUCAUUAUCAUUGAGUUUCUUUUGUCUUCCCCUUUCAUAAUCCUCUGUAAACCCUAGAGGAGUCUACACCAGUUCUUCGAGGUUACUGAUUCAAUCCGAUGGAAUGAUGGAUCUUUAUUCAGGCAUUUGGAGAGAGGGAAAUGGUCGAUAUAUGGCAAUAAGAGAGAGGGAGUGAGUGUUAGAGAUAGAGACGGUGGUGGCUGUUGUUGCGACACUACUCGCCAUCGGCGACGAGGAUGACCAGCGGUGGUCAAGGGUUUUGAAUAGCGGUCUUGCUUAUGACCACAGUGGCCUCCGGCAAGCGUUACAUAGUCGAUUGGCUCCCGCUUCGUUUUUUCCCAACAUGUGUCGAUUUCUUCAUCUCGAAGGGUUUUUAGAAUCCUCCAAUUGAUUUGAUGUUGAAUGUUCAUUUGUAAGGUAGAUGGAUCCAAGUUUUGCCACGGUUUUAGUCUACCCAAAAUCCUUUUAUUUGGUGAGUUUUCAAGUCUGGAUGCUAUGUUAUAUGUUGGUGGAAUCAUAGAGGACCACUGAGAAUCUACCACAAAGUUUGCAAUUAUGGUUGGUGCAUAAGUUAAUACAACAGGAAAUCAAAUAGUUAUAGUUGAAAACACAAGAAGGUUCCUCAUUCGACAAAGGUAUGUAUCUCUAUCAUAUUACCUACAUUGAGUUGUAUAUCAGAAGUCUCAUUUUCUGAAUAUACGUUCACGUCUUCUGCAUGUUUCAAGUUUUUCUUGGUCAUAAAGACCAUAUUAAAGUGUGUUUGGGUCCUUUGACAUGUUUCAAGUGCAUUUUGAUCAUAAAGGCCAAUUUAAAAUGUGUCGGAGUCCUUUAACCCGUUUCGAGUGUGUUUUGUUCAUAAAGACCAUAUUAAAGUGUGUUCGGGUCUUUUGACCCAUUUCAAGGAUGUUUUAGCCAUAAAGAACUAUUUGUUGUGUGUUUGGGCCUUUUGACCCAUUUCAAAUGUGUUUUGGUCAUAAAUACCAAUUUAAAGUGUGUUCGGGUCCUUUGACCCAUUUUAAGUGGUUUUGGUCAUAAUUACCAAUAUCAAGUGUCUCUAGAAGGUAAUUUACCUAUUUAAAGCUGUCAAAAGAAGAGGUAAGGCAUUUAUGUGUUAUCGGUGAUUAUAAAGUUUUGAUUUAUAUGUUUUAAGAUGUCAAAAUAAGUGGCAAAUGAUUGAAAUACAGGUGCAUUUUUAUGACUACAAAGUAUUGUUUGGUAUAGUUUUUUGUUACAUAUAGUGACAUUUGUUUGGAUUGUAGAGUUUUAAUUAACUGCUACGUAACUAAAUCCUAAAAUCUUUUGGUUGAGUUGAUGUGUUAUGGUUUUUGUUUAACUUCAGAAAUUAGUAUUGUUGUGGUUUUUGUUUAAAACGAGUUUACGUUAACCCGCGCGUUGCGGCGGGAUAUUAACUAUGAAUUUUUAAUAUCAUUAUAAGAUAUGCGAAAAUUCUUAAGUUUAUGCAAGCAUUAUUUUCAUUUUUCUUAAUUUUGAAUAAAACGUAUUAUGAGGUAUUCAAUUGAAUCUGAUUAUUUUUUUGAUUCUUAAAUGAUUAGGAAUAAAUUUUUGAUUCUUAAAUGAUUAGGAAUAAAGAAACCGUAAAGUUUAAAAUAAAAGGUAAAAAAUAAUUAAUAUAUUUACGAACUCUCUCCACAAUUCAUUUUCAUAUAGUUUUUUCUUCAUCUUUGUCGAAACGGUCGGUCUAUCUAGUGAUUUUGAAUAGCGAAGCAAAUUUGUUCGGAAUGCCUAACUGAACCAGCACCUCCUUUUCCUUCACCAUUCAUAACCGUAAUGAUUGAAAAACCGAAAUGAUUUGGUACUUAUUAAUACUAUUUAUACUAACAAAAAUAAACGACGCAACUCUUGCACCUUAAAUUUAUUUCUUUGACUAUGACUUUUUAUUAUUCAAAAAAAAAAAAAAAAGACAAAACAAACCAAUCCAUCUUGUUGAAAACGAUCACUAGUAGGAUUAUUCAAAUUAAUUGUGCAUCUAAAUCAUCUCUCCAUUGUUAUGUUCAUCAUACGGUUACAGAUAAAGGAAACAAUCAAACAAUUUCACAUCUAAAUAAAUCCACGAAUCCGUCGUGUUGAAAACAAAUACUUGUAGGAUUUUUUAAUCAAUUAUGCAUCUAAAAACUGUAAUCCAUCUCUUCGCUAUUAAUAAUAUCCUAUUAUGUUCAUCAUAUGGUUACGGAUUCAAUCAUACAAUUUCACAUCUAAACAGAUCAAAUUACACAAAAACAAAUAUAAUCAAGAACAAAUAUGGAGAAAAAGAUGACACAUACAUUGAAAGAUAUGAAGCAAAACAGGAAAGAUGAGAAUAUGAGAGAAUAUUGCUCUGAAUUGUUGUUGAAAAUGGUGAAUAUAUCACUUAUAAAUUCAAACUAUCUCUUUGUUUUCAACCUUUACAAUGGAGAGAAAGACGAUGACGGAUACGAAGAACACCGGAACCAAAAGAUUAAUCGGAAUCGACUACGGUGCCAUUGAUGCCAUCCCCAGCAGCAGUAAUAACAAUCAUCCCAACACCAAAAUCAUGGCGACCAUUGAUCCAAUGCCCCAACCGUAUACGAUGGUUUCCAUAUCUUCUUCCUGUAUUUGUCAGUAAUUUAGUUUCUUCGGUCCGGCGAGUGAUUAUCAUGUGAAUCUCGUUUGAACGUGUGCAUGUAAGUUUAUGUAUGUAUAUGUUCGGGUAUGUGCCAAUUCGCAGGGGUACGAUGGGUGCAUGACAGUUUUUGCAAUGGUUAGUAAGUUAAUUGUGGUAAUCCGGUAACGUGUGAGUUUAGCGGUUAUACGUUUGGAGUGCAAAACACGUGGCUUGUAGCCGGUGAAUGGUAAGCAAAGUUGCUUUUUGUAUAAUAUAUAAAUUAUAUUUUAGAUCAAAUUGUGAUAAUAUUUAUAUAUAGAAAUCUUAUUAUUUAAUUUUAAGGCGUAAUGAUGACUUAUUUUGCUGUAUCUACUUUUAUAUUUUACUAUUGUUUUUUUAUCUUUUAUGGCAGGGGCUGCAUACUUAAAGUUAAAGGUCUUAUUACAAAGAACUAAAACAACCUUAGCCAUUUGUAAUUUGAAGAUUGAAAAUAAUAUUAUCUUGAUGUACUAUUUUGCAGGAUAAGGCAUAGAAUUGAGGUCGAAACGGAGUCCAUACAGUUAGUGAGUUUGCUUGAGAACAAGUUCCUGAAAUUCUGGAGAUUAAAGGACUAAUUGAUAAUGGUAGAUAAAGAGGGCUGCGAAUGAUUAGGGUCACUGCCCUACGCCCUCAUAAUAGUUUUUUUUUUUUUUUUGUUAGUGGUUUGUUGGUCUACUUAAUUUCGAGUAUUGUAUAGUGUUGAGUGAUUAUAGGACUAAACUGAUAGGUUUUUGUGUGUGAUAAGCAUAAAACACCAUGAACAUCAACUAACCUACCAUGUACAGGAGAGUAGAUAGUGGGACGAAACUUUGAUAGCUUUGAAUUUUGCUUCAUCAGGAAUGCAGCCACUACAUUCAUUAAUCAAAAUUUGUAUUUUUUAAAUUUAAACUACGAUCCUCAUUUCAAUAAAGUAUAU
Molecule: long non-coding RNA, 3631 nt
Filed under: Helianthus annuus (common sunflower)
Lineage: Eukaryota; Viridiplantae; Streptophyta; Magnoliopsida; Asterales; Asteraceae
Description: hypothetical non coding rna
Source: RNAcentral